UUCCGAGGUUUUUCCGAGGGUCUACAGUAUGGGGUUCUUCUAAAAAGGAGUGUACAGGUUUUUAAAAGGUCGGCAACGCGCAUGUAACACCUCUGGAGUUGCAGGCGUCCAUAGGCUACGGUGAUUGCUUACCAUCAGGCGGGCCGUAUGCUUGUUUGCCACCGACGUAGUAUUAAAAAAAAAACGUA
Long non-coding RNA from Cydia strobilella, 188 nucleotides. RefSeq lists it as uncharacterized. The record is from RefSeq and is a predicted model, not a curated record. NCBI's taxonomy places the organism in Eukaryota, Metazoa, Arthropoda, Insecta, Lepidoptera, Tortricidae. The transcript has 2 exons.